UACGAAGGGGGCUAGCGUUGCUCGGAAUCACUGGGCGUAAAGCGCACGUAGGCGGAUUGCUAAGUCAGGGGUGAAAUCCUGGAGCUCAACUCCAGAACUGCCUUUGAUACUGGCGAUCUUGAGUCCGGGAGAGGUGAGUGGAACUGCGAGUGUAGAGGUGAAAUUCGUAGAUAUUCGCAAGAACACCAGUGGCGAAGGCGGCUCACUGGCCCGGUACUGACGCUGAGGUGCGAAAGCGUGGGGAGCAAAC
RNAcentral lists this ribosomal RNA (250 nucleotides) under uncultured bacterium. RNAcentral's name for it is "partial 16S ribosomal RNA". It matches the Rfam family "Bacterial small subunit ribosomal RNA", at positions 524 to 773 of the family's 1533-position model. The record is from RNAcentral.